AUGGAAUUGAACUACAUCGGUCUGAAACAUCCAAUAUUUAAGACCUUGCGCAAAAUCUAAUAGGGCUUAAUAUACAAGCUGAAGAAUCAAGGUCUAAUAAGGUUUUGAAGAAUCAUUUUCUCCCAAUGAUUUUGUGUUAGCUAGAAAAGGCUGUCUUGUAGAAGUCAAUACUAAUGCUCUUUUAUUGUAGUUGCCUCAUUUCAAUGAGGGUGAGAGGAAGAGAA
RNAcentral lists this unclassified non-coding RNA (224 nucleotides) under Hevea brasiliensis (rubber tree). The record is from RNAcentral. Lineage: Eukaryota; Viridiplantae; Streptophyta; Magnoliopsida; Malpighiales; Euphorbiaceae.